GACGAACGCUGGCGGCGUGCCUAACACAUGCAAGUCGAACGGGACCAGGGGCAACUCUGGUUCAGUGGCGGACGGGUGCGUAACACGUGAGGAACAUGACCUUCGGCGGGGGAUAGCCGGCCCAACGGCCGGGUAAUACCGCGUACGACCUUUCGGGGACAUCCCCGGAUGGUGAAAGCAGCAAUGCGCCGAUGGAGUGCCUCGCGGCCUAUCAGCUAGUUGGUGAGGUAACGGCUCACCAAGGCAACGACGGGUAGCUGGUCUGAGAGGAUGGCCAGCCACAUUGGGACUGAGACACGGCCCAGACUCCUACGGGAGGCAGCAGUGGGGAAUAUUGGACAAUGGGGGAAACCCUGAUCCAGCCAUGCCGCGUGAGUGAAGAAGGCCUUCGGGUUGUAAAGCUCUUUCGGCGGGGACGAUGAUGACGGUACCCGCAUAAGAAGCCCCGGCUAACUUCGUGCCAGCCGCCG
This 470-nucleotide ribosomal RNA is filed under the name uncultured bacterium. RNAcentral's name for it is "bacterial SSU rRNA". It matches the Rfam family "Bacterial small subunit ribosomal RNA", at positions 28 to 517 of the family's 1533-position model. The record is from RNAcentral.